Molecule: ribosomal RNA, 899 nt
Filed under: uncultured Flavobacteriia bacterium
Lineage: Bacteria; Pseudomonadati; Bacteroidota; Flavobacteriia
Description: bacterial SSU rRNA
Rfam family: Bacterial small subunit ribosomal RNA
Source: RNAcentral
CCUUUAGAAAUGAAGAUUAAUACCUCAUAGUAUUGAGACUCGGCAUCGAGACUCACUUAAAGAUUUAUCGGUAAAAGAUGGCUAUGCGUCCCAUUAGCUAGUUGGCGAGGUAACGGCUCACCAAGGCAACGAUGGGUAGGGGUCCUGAGAGGGAGAUCCCCCACACUGGUACUGAGACACGGACCAGACUCCUACGGGAGGCAGCAGUGAGGAAUAUUGGACAAUGGGCGAGAGCCUGAUCCAGCCAUGCCGCGUGCAGGAAGACUGCCCUAUGGGUUGUAAACUGCUUUUAUACAGGAAGAAUAAGCCUUACGUGUAAGGUGAUGACGGUACUGUAAGAAUAAGGACCGGCUAACUCCGUGCCAGCAGCCGCGGUAAUACGGAGGGUCCGAGCGUUAUCCGGAAUUAUUGGGUUUAAAGGGUCCGUAGGCGGAUGAUUAAGUCAGGGGUGAAAGUUUGCAGCUCAACUGUAAAAUUGCCUUUGAUACUGGUUAUCUUGAGUUGUGUUGAAGUAGGCGGAAUAUGUAGUGUAGCGGUGAAAUGCAUAGAUAUUACAUAGAACACCAAUUGCGAAGGCAGCUUACUAAGUACUAACUGACGCUGAUGGACGAAAGCGUGGGUAGCGAACAGGAUUAGAUACCCUGGUAGUCCACGCCGUAAACGAUGGAUACUAGCUGUUCGGGGCCUUGAGCUCUGAGCGGCUAAGCGAAAGUGAUAAGUAUCCCACCUGGGGAGUACGUUCGCAAGAAUGAAACUCAAAGGAAUUGACGGGGGCCCGCACAAGCGGUGGAGCAUGUGGUUUAAUUCGAUGAUACGCGAGGAACCUUACCAGGGCUUAAAUGUAGUCUGACAGCUUUAGAGAUAGAGUUUUCUUCGGACAGAUUACAAGGUGCUGCAUG